Sceloporus undulatus (fence lizard) is the source of this 451-nucleotide long non-coding RNA. RefSeq lists it as uncharacterized. Lineage: Eukaryota; Metazoa; Chordata; Lepidosauria; Squamata; Phrynosomatidae. The record is from RefSeq and is a predicted model, not a curated record. The transcript has 3 exons.
UCAACUGCCAAGCACUCAGGCAGAGAAAGCCAUUUUGUGUUUCAGCUGCCAAUUUUGUUUUCUGGCAGCCAUUUUAUGUUCUGGUGGCCAUUUUGUGUUCCAGCAACCAUUUUGUGAGGCUUAUGACUGUCUGUGGAGAACGUUCCAGAACCUUUUCUGAGGCCUCAGUUUAACAGAGGCCUCUCUUUCUCUCCUGAGGCUCCAGAGUCAGAAGGAGGCCAGGCUCCUUGGGCCAAAAGGAAGGAACCCUGUGGACCUCCUCCUCCUUCGCACUCAGAGCAACCCUUCUCUACGGCUGAGGAGACGGCCUCUGACCCAGGGAGGCUCCGGCCAUAAAAGACUGCAGAAAAGACCUUCCUAGGGCUGCAGGAAUCAGGGUCUUUGUAUUGAAGGAACUUCAUCUCAGCCUCCUUGUACACGGCUUUGGGGCCUCUCUUGCUGGAAGUGACCA